CAUGUGUGGGCUAUACCCAGCAGUGCACUCUGUAUUCUGUGCAGUUAAUUACAUUUAACGUACCAUGAAUUUCCCUGGAAUGCACCCACUUUCCCCAUCUCCACAGACGUGCCUUCCAGGGCACUGCUCACAUGCUGGUCGGUAGCAUCCCCUCCAUUCCCCCUGGGGGUGUUGGUGGAACUCUCGAGAAGCUCUCGCCAGAGACCUCCUCACCAGCCCAGCCCUCCCGUGCUGGCUCCUCACCUUCUGUGCCGUCCCCAUGGGGGCGAGGUCUCCUACGGAUCUGGAAAGGGACAUGGACAUGUGCUGUUGGUGGGCUGUAGAAUGUGGGGGCUAUUGAAUCUUGUGCCUCAUUUGGAAUUUUCAGUGUAUUAUUGUCAUCGUUUUAUUUUGAGGGAUGGCAGAACAGUGCCGUGUUACUUCAGAGGAGCUUGUUCUCCCCUUGCUUUUGAGUGAUGUACAAGUUCUUACGUAUUAGAAAAGAGUAAUUCUAUUAUUGUUUUCUUUCUUUUAACAGUAGUGGCAGGCACAGUGUGCAUUUUGGGUUACAAGCCAUUGCUUGUUGGACUUCUCUGCCAGCCUCUUUACUCAAUUCUCACCGUCCCGGAGCAGAGAACUUCAUUAGAGAAGUAGUGAGACUUUUUCAGUUUCAAAAAUUUAGGUCAGUGCCAGAUCUUCAGCAUCCUUUGUUUGAAGGCAACAGAAACAGGCUCAGCUGAUUGGUGUCAGUUAUUGGAAGCUCAUGGAAUUGAAGAAAAAAAGCGUGGAAAGUCAAAUAACGUGGAGUCUUCCGUUUCAACUGAAGGAGGGCCAGGGACAAAGCAGGUGAUCUUAGAUGCCCCAGGGACCCAGAAGCCAGGCUCAAAGGCUCAGUCCCCACCCUCCUGAACACAGGCACUCUCAAUCAGCUGGCUGAGUUCCUUGUUUGAAGACACUGGAAGACGGAUUCACUGCAGAGGCCCCUGACAGUGACUGAUUGUCCACUGAGAGGCAGUUGUAUAAGAUCAAUGUCAUUCACAAGAGAAGCAAGGAGAAACACACAGCUUUCUAGACACUGGACCGUUUAGUUGUUACAAGCAUACGUACAUUUUAUAAAACAGUAAUUAUAUUGUAGAUAUGGUUUUUAUCCUCAUAGUUAUUUUUGUACAAUUAUGAAAUGCA
Molecule: long non-coding RNA, 1161 nt
Filed under: Homo sapiens (human)
Lineage: Eukaryota; Metazoa; Chordata; Mammalia; Primates; Hominidae
Description: HSALNT0371850
Source: RNAcentral